Molecule: long non-coding RNA, 213 nt
Filed under: Prunus persica (peach)
Lineage: Eukaryota; Viridiplantae; Streptophyta; Magnoliopsida; Rosales; Rosaceae
Description: long non-coding RNA (PPER_LNC006070)
Source: RNAcentral
UGAAAGGCAAUGAAGAUGAAUGAUGGAGCAUAGAUGCCUUGGUUAUGUUUUAUUUAGUUAUGGUUUGGUUGUGUUGUUUAUUUAUUUAUUAUGGUUUGGUUGUGGUUUGUUAUUAUUAUUGUGCCUUGUUUGUAGUUUUUUAUAUUUUAAUUUUGUUUUAUUUGAUGUAUGGAAUAUGUUGAAUAAAAAGUUAUUUUAUUGAAUGCUUUGUUU